RNAcentral lists this ribosomal RNA (1203 nucleotides) under Salmonella enterica subsp. enterica serovar Agona. Its description in RNAcentral is "partial 23S ribosomal RNA". It matches the Rfam family "Bacterial large subunit ribosomal RNA", at positions 340 to 1547 of the family's 2925-position model. Lineage: Bacteria; Pseudomonadati; Pseudomonadota; Gammaproteobacteria; Enterobacterales; Enterobacteriaceae. The record is from RNAcentral.
GUCUGGAAAGGCGCGCGAUACAGGGUGACAGCCCCGUACACAAAAGCGCAUGUGCUGUGAGCUCGAUGAGUAGGGCGGGACACGUGGUAUCCUGUCUGAAUAUGGGGGGACCAUCCUCCAAGGCUAAAUACUCCUGACUGACCGAUAGUGAACCAGUACCGUGAGGGAAAGGCGAAAAGAACCCCGGCGAGGGGAGUGAAAAAGAACCUGAAACCGUGUACGUACAAGCAGUGGGAGCACAGGUUUACCUGUGUGACUGCGUACCUUUUGUAUAAUGGGUCAGCGACUUAUAUUCUGUAGCAAGGUUAACCGCAUAGGGGAGCCGGAGGGAAACCGAGUCUUAAUUGGGCGUUAAGUUGCAGGGUAUAGACCCGAAACCCGGUGAUCUAGCCAUGGGCAGGUUGAAGGUUGGGUAACACUAACUGGAGGACCGAACCGACUAAUGUUGAAAAAUUAGCGGAUGACCUGUGGCUGGGGGUGAAAGGCCAAUCAAACCGGGAGAUAGCUGGUUCUCCCCGAAAGCUAUUUAGGUAGCGCCUCGUGAAUUCAUCUCCGGGGGUAGAGCACUGUUUCGGCUAGGGGGCCAUCCCGGCUUACCAACCCGAUGCAAACUGCGAAUACCGGAGAAUGUUAUCACGGGAGACACACGGCGGGUGCUAACGUCCGUCGUGAAGAGGGAAACAACCCAGACCGCCAGCUAAGGUCCCAAAGUCAUGGUUAAGUGGGAAACGAUGUGGGAAGGCCCAGACAGCCAGGAUGUUGGCUUAGAAGCAGCCAUCAUUUAAAGAAAGCGUAAUAGCUCACUGGUCGAGUCGGCCUGCGCGGAAGAUGUAACGGGGCUAAACCAUGCACCGAAGCUGCGGCAGCGACACUCAGGUGUUGUUGGGUAGGGGAGCGUUCUGUAAGCCUGCGAAGGUGGCCUGUGAGGGUUGCUGGAGGUAUCAGAAGUGCGAAUGCUGACAUAAGUAACGAUAAAGCGGGUGAAAAGCCCGCUCGCCGGAAGACCAAGGGUUCCUGUCCAACGUUAAUCGGGGCAGGGUGAGUCGACCCCUAAGGCGAGGCCGAAAGGCGUAGUCGAUGGGAAACGGGUUAAUAUUCCCGUACUUGGUGUUACUGCGAAGGGGGGACGGAGAAGGCUAUGUUGGCCGGGCGACGGUUGUCCCGGUUUAAGCGUGUAGGUGUGUGUUCCAGGUAAAUCCGGUU